UGAUGUUGUUUCUCCAUGUCAAAAUGUAUUAAUUGGCUGCUAUAUGAAACAUGUCUAUUUUUUCCUCUAAUUAUUUCUAUUUUAACUAAUAUCUUACUCAUUUUUAAAGUACAUGAUGAUUUGUUGUUGACUUGCAUACAAAAGAAGAGAAGUUUAUUUACCAUGUGUAGUUCUUGUUCGUGUGAACUCUUAAUCAUUUUCUAUUUAUUUCAGGUUCUUCAUAACAUUGCUAUUGCAUAAUACUUUCACUGGAAUAUGCUACGAAACCUUGCUGGCAUCUAUUAUGAACAAAGUCAACUUGACAUGGCAAUUCUGCAUUACAAGCAAGCUAUCAAUUGUGAUUCUACCUUUAUUGAAGCUUACAAUAAUCUGGGGAAUGCUCUCAAAGACGCUGGACAUGUGGAAGAGGCUAUCAACUUCUAUAGGGUGACUUUUUAAUUUGGAUAUUUUUAUUCUCUUAAGUUUUUUUUCCUUGUUGAAUAACUUCAUUUUAAUAAUUUUUCCCAAGUCAUGCCUUGCUUUACAACCUAACCAUCCACAAGCAUUGUCAAGCCU
Molecule: long non-coding RNA, 555 nt
Organism: Zingiber officinale
Lineage: Eukaryota; Viridiplantae; Streptophyta; Magnoliopsida; Zingiberales; Zingiberaceae
Exons: 3
Source: RefSeq, a predicted model, not a curated record